This 99-nucleotide signal recognition particle RNA is filed under the name Deferrivibrio metallireducens. RNAcentral describes it as "Deferribacteraceae bacterium V6Fe1 signal recognition particle sRNA small type". It matches the Rfam family "Bacterial small signal recognition particle RNA". Rfam says of the family: The signal recognition particle (SRP) is a universally conserved ribonucleoprotein involved in the co-translational targeting of proteins to membranes. Lineage: Bacteria; Pseudomonadati; Deferribacterota; Deferribacteres; Deferribacterales; Deferrivibrionaceae. The record is from RNAcentral. RNAcentral also lists the same sequence under 1 other name.
UGAUGGGUGCUCUGCAAUAGGAGUUGUGUGAACCCCGCCAGGUCCGGAAGGAAGCAACGGUAGCAUGAUUUCCUAUGUGCCGGAGUUUACCUGUCGGGC